AUGAUGGACUAUAGGACAGGACUGCUGCUUUUUACUGUCUGCUGGGCAGGUGUUGAUGGUCAGACUCUGACAAAAUCUGAAGAAGUGGUUAAAAGGCCUGGAGAAUCCCACAGACUGACCUGUUCAGCCUCUGGAUUCACAUUCAGCAGCUAUGAUAUGAACUGGGUCAGACAGGCUCCUGGAAAAGGACUGGAGUGGAUCGCCUGGGUUGAGCGUGAUAAUGACAGAAAAUACUACUCUCAGUCAGUUAAAGGCCGGUUCACCAUCUCCAGAGACAACAGCAGACAGCAGGUGUAUCUGCAGAUGAACAGUCUGAAGACUGAAGAUUCUGCUGUUUAU
Labrus bergylta (ballan wrasse) is the source of this 339-nucleotide non-coding RNA. The record is from the annotation of a RefSeq genome assembly. NCBI's taxonomy places the organism in Eukaryota, Metazoa, Chordata, Actinopteri, Labriformes, Labridae.